Molecule: long non-coding RNA, 497 nt
Organism: Xenia sp. Carnegie-2017
Lineage: Eukaryota; Metazoa; Cnidaria; Anthozoa; Malacalcyonacea; Xeniidae
Exons: 2
Source: RefSeq, a predicted model, not a curated record
ACCUCUAACCCAAUAUGGAUUAACGCUGCCCGUGCCUGUUAUACAAAAAUUGAACAGUUUUACUGCGAUUACGAAUGGUACUGUAAAACCCCUCAUAGUUACCCCCAAAAUUUACCUUACUUACAAUCAUUAGUUUCGACAAAGUUGAUAACCACGCUCUGCUUUGCUAUUAUAGUUGCAAUUCCUGUGACUACACUCAGGACAAUUUGUAAAGUUGUUCAACACUCUCAGUCUGUGACGCAUAGUGUUUGAACAAACUUUUUAUGAGACUGAUCACUCAAAUGGAGAAAUGCUAAGAAGUUAAACUGCUACAAGCCGUUGCAGGGAUUCAAAUGUUUAUUAAAUAUAACUAUAACUCCUGCAGCAUAAGGGUUCUGGACAUAUCAGCUGGGGCCGGUUGCACGAAGCCUGGAUAGCGUUAUCCACUGGAUAGCAAUUUUUUCUGAACGUUCAUAAAAUCUCUUAUAAGAGAAAAAUAUACGAUUUGAGCUGUGCAA